Molecule: ribosomal RNA, 1400 nt
Filed under: Myxobolus intimus
Lineage: Eukaryota; Metazoa; Cnidaria; Myxozoa; Bivalvulida; Myxobolidae
Description: SSU rRNA
Rfam family: Eukaryotic small subunit ribosomal RNA
Source: RNAcentral
UAUAUCAGUGAUUAUCUGUUUGAUUGUCUUCCCCAUUGGAUAACCGUGGGAAAUCUAGAGCUAAUACAUGCAGUUCAUUGGUUUUACCGAAAGGUUUGGUCAAAGCAUUUAUUAGACUUAACCAUCUACUGCGUGGCAACACGCGGUAAGGCGAAUCUAGAUAACUUUGCUGAUCGUAUGGCCUUGUGCCGACGACGUUUCAAUUGAGUUUCUGCCCUAUCAAUUUGUUGGUAAGGUAUUGGCUUACCAAGGUUGCAACGGGUAACGGGGAAUCAGGGUUCGAUUCCGGAGAGGGAGCCUGAGAAACGGCUACCACAUCCAAGGAAGGCAGCAGGCGCGCAAAUUACCCAAUCUAGACAGUAGGAGGUGGUGAAGAGAAGUACUGAGUGGUGGUCAAUGACUACCAACUUGGAAUGAACGUAAUUUAAGCAAUUCGAUGAGUAACUACUGGAGGGCAAGUCCUGGUGCCAGCAGCCGCGGUAAUUCCAGCUCCAGUGGCGUGAUUUAAAGUUGCUGCGUUUAAAACGCUCGUAGUUGGAUCACGCAGUAGUAUUCAGUAAUCAAGGUCAAUGUAUGCUGACGAUUGCCCUCUGGGUGGAUUGGAUCUUCAUUUGGCUGAGAUGUUAACGCUGAAUGCUACUAUUUGCACACAAGUGUGGUAUUUGACCUUCAGUGUGUUGAGUAUCAUGCCUUGUGGAGUGUGCCUUGAAUAAAACAGAGUGCUCAAAGCAGGCGAAAGCUUGAAUGUUAUAGCAUGGAACGAACAAACGUGUAUUUGUGUAUGUUAGUAAUGAUUAGGGGUGACUUUGGUCGUUGCUGGCGUGCACAGCACCCACCAAAAUACGGAUGUUGGUUUUCGUAUCAGGUGAUGAUUAACAGGAGCGGUUGGGGGCAUUGGUAUUUGGCCGCGAGAGGUGAAAUUCUUGGACCGGCCAAGGACUAACAGAUGCGAAGGCGUUUGUCUAGACCGUUUCCAUUAAUCAAGAACGAAAGUGAGAGGUUCGAAGACGAUCAGAUACCGUCCUAGUUCUCACCUUAAACUAUGCCGACCUGGGAUCAGCUUAGUGAUUUGCAAGCACUAAGUUGGUCCCCCUGGGAAACCUCAAGUUUUUCGGUUACGGGGAGAGUAUGGUCGCAAGUCUGAAACUUAAAGGAAUUGACGGAAGGGCACCACCAGGGGUGGAGCCUGCGGCUUAAUUUGACUCAACACGGGGAAACUUACCUGGUCCGGACAUCGAAAGGAUAGACAGACUGAUAGAUCUUUCUUGAUGCGGUGAGUGGUGGUGCAUGGCCGUUCUUAGUUCGUGGAGUGAUCUGUCAGGUUUAUUCCGGUAACGAACGAGACCACCUUCUCCAUUUAAGACACGGUAGUAAGAGGUUGGGUGCUUCUGUUUCGGCAG